UGUGCCUACGGGGGGUAGCAGUGGGGAAUAUUGCACAAUGGGCGCAAGCCUGAACGAGCAAUGCCGCGUGAACGAGGAAGGUCUUCGGAUCGUAAAGUUCUGUUGAAGGGGAAAAAGAGCGGAGAGAGGAAAUGGUCUCCGAUUGAUAUUACCCUUCGAGGAAGUCACGGCUAACUACGUGCCAGCAGCCGCGGUAAUACGUAGGUGGCGAGCGUUAUCCGGAAUGAUUGGGCGUAAAGGGUGCGUAGGCGGCCUGCUAAGUCUGGAGUGAAAGGUACCGGCUCAACCGGUACAGGCUCUGGAAA
Molecule: ribosomal RNA, 305 nt
Filed under: uncultured bacterium
Lineage: Bacteria
Description: bacterial SSU rRNA
Rfam family: Bacterial small subunit ribosomal RNA
Source: RNAcentral